This 439-nucleotide ribosomal RNA is filed under the name uncultured bacterium. RNAcentral describes it as "partial 16S ribosomal RNA". It matches the Rfam family "Bacterial small subunit ribosomal RNA", at positions 339 to 795 of the family's 1533-position model. The record is from RNAcentral.
CUACGGGUGGCACCAGUGGGGAAUCUUAGACAAUGGGCGCAAGCCUGAUCUAGCCAUGCCGCGUGAGUGAUGAAGGCCUUAGGGUCGUAAAGCUCUUUCGCUGGGGAAGAUAAUGACGGUACCCAGUAAAGAAACCCCGGCUAACUCCGUGCCAGCAGCCGCGGUAAUACGGAGGGGGUUAGCGUUGUUCGGAAUUACUGGGCGUAAAGCGCGCGUAGGCGGACUGUUAAGUCGGGGGUGAAAUCCCGGGGCUCAACCCCGGAACGGCCUUCGAUACUGGCAGUCUGGAGUUCGAGAGAGGUGAGUGGAAUUCCGAGUGUAGAGGUGAAAUUCGUAGAUAUUCGGAGGAACACCAGUGGCGAAGGCGGCUCACUGGCUCGAUACUGACGCUGUGGUGCGAAAGUGUGGGGAGCAAACAGGAUUAGAUACCCCAGUAGUC